CAAAACGGCACCCUUGUUGCUCAGCUUCGCAAACCUCAGCGUUCUGACGAACUCUCGCCGCUUCGAGUCCACCACCAAGAAAUCCACACCGGGAAACUCCUCCAUCGUGUUCUCAACAGAUUCUCCGACCACCACAACCUCCGUCGUAACAAAUCCUCUCAUGGCCAACACGUACUCAAGUUUAGAUUGCUCGUCAGGUACUAUACACACGUGUCUUCCACCCGUGUGAGUUGCAGC
This is a long non-coding RNA of Arabidopsis thaliana (thale cress), 237 nucleotides long. RefSeq annotates it as other RNA. The transcript has a single exon. The record is from RefSeq. Lineage: Eukaryota; Viridiplantae; Streptophyta; Magnoliopsida; Brassicales; Brassicaceae.